This is a long non-coding RNA of Strongylocentrotus purpuratus (purple sea urchin), 1425 nucleotides long. RefSeq lists it as uncharacterized. The transcript has 3 exons. Lineage: Eukaryota; Metazoa; Echinodermata; Echinoidea; Camarodonta; Strongylocentrotidae. The record is from RefSeq and is a predicted model, not a curated record.
ACACACAAGACAGCCAUUCCUAUCCUGAACAGCUACAGGAGCCAGAGCAGAGAGACAAAAUCUUGUUAUUACUUUGUUUUCCCCUGCUAUUCUUCAAUAUGGGCAUCUUUUGACAUUUUUUGCCGAACAGUGGAUUCAAAGCAUAUUGUGGACACAGUAGGCCUAUAUUGACGUGAGACCAUGCAGAAAAUGCUACUUUCUCUCAACCUCCUGGAUCAGCAUUCAGCAGCCUCGUGACACAGUUGAAGCCAUUUUCGAAUUCUUUGCGUGUAUGUACCCUGGAUCAAGCAGCACUUGCAUUAUACAGGAGAUUCCACCCAAAAUCUAAACCAUGAGUCCAAGCUGCAGAGGAAUAUUUCCAAAAUGAGGUCUACACACACACACAGGUUACUUUCCCCUUCAUUAUAGAGAUAAAGAGAGAGAGAUGGGGGGAUGAGUUAUAGCCACGAACCUGAAUAGCUUAAAUGUAGAACUGAGAUGCCCAUCCAUGUCACUUGCCAUUUUAAUGAAUUACAGGGUUUACAAACAUACAUAUUAACCCUUUGGGUAAAAGAUCUUGGUAUUUGCGUAAAUUUGUUAUUACUAUUUAUGAAGUAGACCUGUUUCAUAAUGCUAUGUAGUAGAUCAGUCUCAUACUCGACCCCACCCCCUUCAUAUCACAAUGUCAAUUCCUAAAACCUGUGGCAAAUUAUAUAAGUUGGUAAUAGAGAAAAAUUGAAUGAGGUAGAUGCAAUACAAAUUGAUUCCAAUCUUAAGCACUUAAGACUUUAUUCAGGUAUGGCACGUGAACCGCCCAAAAAAUUCCAAAAAUGCUGCAGUUUUGUUUUAUGUUUAAAGUGAACGGUAACAAAGGACCUACAUGUUUUUGUAUAUUUUGGACUGCGCAUAUUCAGUGAUCUCUGUAUUAUAAUAUAUAGAAAUGUAAAGCAUAUAGAACCUUAUGUCAACUCCAGCAUCAUAUCUGAACGAGCCUUAAAAGACAAUCCAACCCUUGUAAUAAGUUCGUUGAAAUGGAAGCUGAAAAAUAAGAGAAAUAGAAAGGCGAAAGUUUGAAAUAAAUCGGGCCAAUAUAAAGGGAGUUGUGAUAAUAUAUAAAUAUGAGAUCACUAAAUCCAUGCAUAUCUCAAUGAAAUGCUAGAGCGCCGUAUGGCAGCCGUGCUAAAGCCAGGGUAAUAAUCGGGAGCGCCAGGAGGGUCAAAUCUGACUGACAUGAGCGCUACACAAGAACCCACUAUUAUUAUUAUUAUUACACCUGUAGUCAUGGGACAACUCUCCCAUUUGUUAAUGAAAUAUAAUAAAUUCUCUUUUUAUUUUAAGUGCCUUCUCCCUUUGAGAACUACUCAAAAUAUAUUAUGAAUAGCACAUUAUUACAAGUCCUCUACAUAGAAAAGCCACUCGUGGAUCAUACAUUUUGAAGAAAAAAAA